AUGCCUAGCGACAAGGCGCCGGGGCCGGAUGGCUUCACAGGCCUCUUCUUCAAGAAAUGUUGGGGCAUUAUCAAAACUGACCUAAUGACGGUCAUUUCACAUUUCGACUCCCUGCAAACGUCAAAUCUCCAGUGGCUCAACUCUGCAAAUCUGGUCCUCUUGCCUAAAAAGGAUGGGGCGGAGGGAAUCGCCGACUAUAGACCCAUUAGCCUCAUCCAUAUGAAAAAUCUCGUCUCCAACACCCAAAGCGCCUUCAUCAAAACAAGAAGCAUCCAUGACAAUUUUCUGUAUGUUCGCAAUCUUGCUCGACGCCUCCAUGCAAGGAAGACCCCCUCACUCCUCUUCAAGCUUGAUAUUCGGAAGGCCUUCGACUCCGUUAAGUGGGAAUACUUGCUUGAUCUCCUCCAAAGGCGAGGAUUUCCGAGCAAAUUUAGGGAU
This 438-nucleotide ribosomal RNA is filed under the name Triticum aestivum (bread wheat). Its description in RNAcentral is "partial small subunit ribosomal RNA". Lineage: Eukaryota; Viridiplantae; Streptophyta; Magnoliopsida; Poales; Poaceae. The record is from RNAcentral.